RNAcentral lists this long non-coding RNA (1037 nucleotides) under Bos indicus x Bos taurus (hybrid cattle). RNAcentral describes it as "lncRNA (ENSBIXG00005019753.1)". The record is from RNAcentral. Lineage: Eukaryota; Metazoa; Chordata; Mammalia; Artiodactyla; Bovidae.
AAGACUCAACUCGGAAAGCAUUUAUUAACUGCAUCACUAACGCUUUCACUUUCUUCACGUUGCCCUAGUUGGCCCUAUCUCUGUGCUCACAGUUUUCUAUGUCUUAUCUGAGACUGUCAAUUACUUGAGGUCAGAGACUACGCCCUUUGCUAUUUCUGUAAGCCUGGUACAUUGUGCAGAAUUGCCUCUAUAGUCGAUGAACAAUCGAUAUGUGUAAGUAAAUCAAUGUAGGGAUAAAUGGAUGCUAGAUAGGAACAGUAAGGAAUAGAAACAGGUGUCUUACAUUUUCACAAUGCCUUAAAUUUUCUAUAUUGUGAAAUCUGUUUGUUUGUUUUGGUUCCUUAUACAGAUAAGAACAGGGAGGAUCAGAGACAAUCUAAGUCACCCAAGGUCAAAGUCAUAUCCCAGGUCACCGGCAAAGGCGGUGGACAAUUCCGGUCGUCUGGGGCAGGACCUGCUCUCUUUUCUAACACCAGGCCUCAGGCCAUCUACAGUAGUUCUCAGCAUCUCAUGAUGCAGGUAACAUUCCACCUUUCAGGAAAGGACAGCCCAGAGAAAUGAGGCCUGAGUGAAAAGUGUGGUCAGGGCUGCAAACUGAUCAAUAUCCAGACCUUGAACCCACACAUCUCCUGGCUCCUGACCUUACUGCUUUGUGGGCACAAAAAGUGCCUGAGAGUGAACUUAACAUCUCCAUUCACCAGGAAUGACCUUGCUGAAUAGUCAGUGUAAGUGUCCUGGUCUGGGUGCUGGAUUAUUUGGUCACCUGCCUAGCCCAGCAGACAUGACUUUUGUGAGUUCUUCCUAACUUGUAGGAGGAGUGGUGGAAAGGUCAGAGUGGCCUAGAGACACAACUCCCAAACUUCAAGAAGCAGUUUCCAGCCUCCUCCUGUGGAGUGCAUGGUCCAGGAAAACACUUUCACACAAAGCUGUGGAAACAAUCUUAUGUUUAGCCAGUGGUUGGCUUCAGUAGUCAGUAAAGGCUUGUGAACAGAGGAGCUUGACCUGAUCUGAAUUCUACAACUUCCUUCAGAUUGUUC